Molecule: ribosomal RNA, 1046 nt
Filed under: Ocellularia laeviusculoides
Lineage: Eukaryota; Fungi; Ascomycota; Lecanoromycetes; Ostropales; Graphidaceae
Description: eukaryotic LSU rRNA
Rfam family: Eukaryotic large subunit ribosomal RNA
Source: RNAcentral
UGCGGAUGAGAGAGCGCACAGCUAAAAUGAAUCUGGCUUUGGGCGAUUGUNAUUUGUAGAAGGUGCUUCGGGCGAGGCCCCGGCCCAAGUCCCUUGGAACAGGGCGUCGCAGAGGGUGAGAAUCCCGUACGCGGCCGAUGGCCAAGCCCGUGUGAAGCCCUUUCGACGAGUCGAGUUGUUUGGGAAUGCAGCUCCAAAUGGGUGGUAAAUUUCAUCUAAAGCUAAAUAUCUGUCAGAGACCGAUAGCGCACAAGUAGAGUGAUCGAAAGAUGAAAAGCACUUUGAAAAGAGAGUCAAACAGUACGUGAAAUUGUUGAAAGGGAAGCGCUUGCAACGAGACUCGUUCGCGGGUGUUCAGCCGUCCCCCGGGGCGGUGCACUCUCCCGCGUUUCGGGCCAGCAUCGGUUUCGGCGGCCGGACAAAGGCCCCGGGAACGUAGCUCUCUCCGGAGAGUGUUAUAGCCUGGGGUGCAAUGCGGCCAGCUGGGACCGAGGAUCGCGCAUUCGCUAGGAUGCUGGCGUAAUCGUUGUCAGCGACCCGUCUUGAAACACGGACCAAGGAGUCGACCAAUCUGGCAAGUUUUAGGGCGUAAACCCCUGAAGCGCAAUGAAAGUGAACGUAGGUGGGAGCCUUCGGGUGCACCAUCGACCGAUCCUGAUGUCUUCGGAUGGAUUUGAGUAUGAGCCCGGCUGGUCGGACCCGAAAGAUGGUGAACUAUGCGUGAAUAGGGUGAAGCCAGAGGAAACUCUGGUGGAGGCUCGCAGCGGUUCUGACGUGCAAAUCGAUCGUCAAAUUUGCGCAUAGGGGCGAAAGACUAAUCGAACUAUCUAGUAGCUGGUUCCCGUCGAAGUUUCCCUCAGGAUAGCAGCAACGAAAACAGUCUCAUGAGGUAGAGCAAACGAUUAGAGGUCUUGGGGUUGUAUUCGACCUUAACCUAUUCUCGAACUUCGAAUAUGUGAGAAGUCCUUGUUACUUAGUUGAACGUGGACAUUUGGGAUGUAUCGUCAUCCAGUGGGCCAUUUUUGGUAACAGAAAACUGGCGCGAA